This 24-nucleotide non-coding RNA is filed under the name Arabidopsis thaliana (thale cress). Lineage: Eukaryota; Viridiplantae; Streptophyta; Magnoliopsida; Brassicales; Brassicaceae. The record is from RNAcentral.
AUGAAUGCUCUUCUAAGUGGUUGU